CUUAUUAAUGGACACAUUAAAGCAAUAGAGUCUUAUUUAUCUAAAAAAGUGUUACUCUGCUACAUUAAUCCCACAUGCAAACACUGACCAUGAGCAUUACUCUAGAUGGGCUCCCAUAGGGUAGACACUGCACAAGCUCAGAUGAUCAAGCCGCUAAAAUGGGUUCAAAGAGUUGGUUCUCAAACUUUUUCUACUGUGUGUCACAUGAGGAUGAAAACUGUAGCAUACAAAAAGAUGACAUAGACUAUAAAGUUGACCACAACAGAUUAACACACCAACAAGACCAGAAAACAUCCACUUUACCUGACUUUAAAGCUCCUAUGAGGAGUUCAUUGAUAUUUAUGAAAUGGACCAAAAUUGAGUGUUAAUGAAAUACAAAAUCACAUUAGACCAUCAGCAACAAGAUCUGAGAUUUUUAUAUCCUUAAUUUUAAAGUCUGAAAUUAGUGGGAAGGGGGUAGGUCCAAGCCUUACAGCUGAAGAUUUGGCCCUGUUUUGUUUCCAAUCCACUGGGGUUGUAAAUUAAAUGUGGAUCAAUGCUUUGAACACCUUUAGAAUUGAUUUUUGCUUCUCUUUCCAAUAAAAUGUAUUGUAAUAUGCACACUUCUGGUAUGCUUGUCAUGUUUUUGCUAUAAAAACAUUUUUUAGAUGGAAAAGAAAACCAGAGGACAAAUGUCUGUAGUCAUUUUAACUUAGGUUUAAUGUUUCCAAUAAUUAAUAAUGUCUCUGAAAUUUCUGGAUUUAUGACUCAAACAGGAUUUAAAAGAUGUCUCAGAAUCCAAAUUCUACUUAUUUUAAUGUUCAUUUUGUUUGUAUCCAGGUGACAGACAUGCAAACUGUACUGAUUGGUCCAUCUGAAUUCCCUCCUUUAGUUGAUGUAAUCUGAGAAUAUAUAUGUAUAAAUGUGAGAAGAGAUAGCUGGGACUAUUCGGGGCUGGGUUAUCCCCUCCCAUAAAACAGCUUGUCUUGAUGGAAAACACUUCAGUGUUUUUUCUCUCAGGUCUUAAUGAGACAAGGAAAUAUCGCUCUGUCAUUUUCUCUCUCACUUUACUUUGUUACUGUUCAAUUCUGUUUGGGAAUGUAGUUCUCAUUGUGACGAUUAUCAUAGAUAAAAACCUGCAUGAACCCAUGUAUAUUCUACUGUGUACAUUCUGCUUUAAUGGGCUGUACGGAUCAACUGGUUUCUUUCCAAAGUUUCUCUGGGAUCUUCUGUCUCCAGUUCAUGUUAUCUCUUAUUAUGGAUGUCUUGUUCAGUCUCUGGUCGUGAACUCAUUCACCUGUGCUGAUCUAUCAUUUCUCACAGUCAUGGCCUAUGACAGAUAUGUGGCUAUAUGUCAACCGCUGAAGUACCACUCCCUCAUGUCAAAGCAGAGACUGGUGAAGUUGGUGUGUUUAUCUGUGAUCACACCUUUUUUUAACAUAUCGACUAAUGUUUCACUUGCAUCAAGGUUAAAGCUGUGCAGGAAUCAUAUUUCCAGAUUAUUUUGUGUUGGCUGGUCGAUCGUUACACUUGCUUGUUUUCCAGCUGAAAUUGUUCUUAUUAACAUAGUCGCCUAUAUUACAAUAGUUUUUUAUGUUCUUCAUUGUGUUCUUAUAAUUGGCUCUUACGUCUAUCUAAUCAAAACUUGUGUGAAUUCUAUAGAAAACAGGGCAAAGUUCAUGCAGACAUGUGUGCCUCAUUUAACCUCCCUUCUCAUUUUUUUGUGACUAAACUUUGUGAUAUGAUGUUUAACAGAUAUGGUUCUAAAAAUAUAUCUCAAACCAUCAAAAACUUCAUUGCAAUAGAGUUUUUUGUCAUUCCUCCUUUAAUGAAUCCUCUUAUCUAUGGUUUUAAACUGACGAAGAUUAGAAACAGAAUUGUGGGUUUUGUUAGAGCCAAAUAAUUUGACCAAUGCUUGAUUUAGUACAGUCAAAGGGCUAAAAGUACAACAUUGUAUUUAGGUAAUUUUCUUAGCUCUAAAAUUAUGGAGAGAAUAGAUACUCCUUAAAAAGAGCAAACAUUCAGUUUUUCGUAAGUGUUAUCCAAGAAGACGACACUUUGAGUGUUUUAUUCAGAGCUCAACUGAAAUCAACAGUUACAACAACAACAUAUCUAAAUUAUACUGUUUUUAAUCAUGUUGUAAUAGCUAUUAUGGAGAACAAAGAAUCAUAUCAAUGUAGCAGGUGAUAACUAACUUCUGCUUCAUGCUUAUGUCGCUUUUUUUUAUCCGUCUUUACACAAAGGAUUCAGAUGUUGUCUUUUAGGCACAGUCAUAGUUAGGUAAAAAGAAACUGUUGGUCUUUCUUCUUUACUUUUUCAUUGCUUUGAUUGAUUGAAGUUUAUUUUGAACAUAUAAAAUAAAUAAAUAAAAACAUCAAGAAUACAACAACAAAUGAUAAAAAGUUAUCCAUGUUUUCAAAGGAGUGUGAAAAAGUCAAAUGUACCUAGUCCCACCCCGUGACCUACACUGAUGAUUUACUUAUUAUAUUACAUGACUAGGACAAGUUUUUAUUGUUUGUUUGUUUGUUUUUUUAUAUUUUACAACUUGAUCCAACAAAAUAUUGAAGCUGUAGUAAAUUUAUUUGCUGUUUUGUGUAUUUAGUUGAGAAAUGAGUUGAAAGAAAGUGUCUACAUAAUUUGCAUUUGUGCUUGAGUGUGUUUGAAUGAGAGCAGAAGAAUCACAAGUUUGUACCUGGAAGCUCAAAUUAAAAACAGAAGUAUCAUACAGAUUAAAAAUAUAAGGCCAGUGGUCUGAAUUAGACAAGCCCCCACACUGUCCAGUUUUAAAAGUCAUCUUAAAACCCAUUUUUAUUCAUUGGCUUUUAACCCUGCAUGAGACUCGGCUCCUGUUUUAGUGUUUUAUGGUUUGUUUUUAGUUAUUUGUUUCUAUGUUUUUAAAUUAGUUUUUAAAAACAUUAAAACUAUAUUUUACUUUUAAUUCUGCUUUUAUUUUAUCCAUUAUUUUAAUUGUUUCUUGAUUGUUUUUUAUCUUGUUUUUUUGUCUAGUUAUGUACAGCACUUUGUUCAGCUGUGGUUGUUUUAAAGUGCUUAACAAAUAAAGUUGAGUUGAGUUGAGUUGAAUUCAUAUAAACACCAAAGUCAUACAAGGAACUAUGUUUGUUUCACUGAAAACCAAUAAGUACCCCUGUUGUUAUAUUAAUAGACUUAUUUUUCAAAUCAAUCAAGAUACCCAUGUUUGUGUUGUAAACCAACCUAAAUACAUAAGACCUUAUUAGUGGACUUCUUAAAGCAAUAGAGUCUUAUUCAUCUAAAACAGUUUUACUCUGCUACAUUAAUCCCACGUGCAAGAACUGACCAUGAGCAUUACUCUAGAUGGGCUCCCAUAGGCUAGACACUGCACAAGCUCAGAUGGUCACGCCGCUAAAAUGGGUUCAAAGAGGUGGUUCUGAAACUUUUUCUACUUUGUGUCACAUGAGGAUGAAAACUGUAGCAUAAAGAUGAUGACAUAGAGUAAAAAGUUGACCUGGUAAGUUAGUUUUGAAGUCCAAGCCUUAAAGCUGAAGAUUCGACCCUGUUUUGGUCAUUACACUUGUUCAUAAUCCACUGGGGUUGUGAAUCAAUUGUCAAUCAAUGCUUUGAACACCUUUAGAAUUGAUUUUUGCUUCUCUUCCCAAUAAAAUGUAUUGUAAUAUGCACACUUCUGGUAUGCUUGUCAUGUUUUUGCUUUUAAAACAGUUUUUAGAUGGAAAAGAAAACCAAAAGACAAAUGUCUGUGGUCAUUUUAACUUAGGUUUGAUGUUUCUAAUGAUCAAUAAUGUCUCUGAAAUUUCUGGAUUUGUGACUCAAACAGGAUUUAAAAGAUGUUCCUCUCAUUUUUAUGUUCAUUUUGUUUGUAUCCAGGUGACAGACAUGCAAACUUUACUGAUUGGUCCAUCUGAAUUCCCUCCUUUAGUUGAUGUAAUCUGAGAAUAUAUAUGUAUAAAUGUGAGAAGAGAUAGCUGGGACUAUUCAGGGCUGGGUUAUCCCCUCCCAUAAAACAGCUUGUCUUGAUGGAAAACACUUCAGUGUUUUUUCUCUCAGGUCUUAAUGAGACAAGGAAAUAUCGCUUUGUUAUCUUUACUCUCACUUUACUCUGUUACUGUUCUAUUCUGUUUGGGAAUGUAGUUCUGAUUGUGACAAUUAUCAUAGAUAAAAACCUGCAUGAACCCAUGUAUAUUCUACUGUGUGUAUUCUGCUUUAAUGGGCUGUACGGAUCAACUGGAUUCUACCCAAAGUUUCUCUGGGAUCUUCUGUCUCCAGUCCAUGUUAUCUCUUAUGCUGGAUGUCUAAUUCAGUCUCUGAUCGUGAACUCAUUCAGCUGUGCUGAUCUAUCAAUUCUCACAGUCAUGGCAUAUGACAGAUAUGUGGCUAUAUGUCGACCGCUG
This is a non-coding RNA of Xyrichtys novacula (pearly razorfish), 4364 nucleotides long. Lineage: Eukaryota; Metazoa; Chordata; Actinopteri; Labriformes; Labridae. The record is from the annotation of a GenBank genome assembly.